AUCGCCGGAGGAUAGAGGAAGUCGGGGCGACCCGGCUGGACGCGAAAUUCUAC
This is a regulatory RNA element of Natrialba asiatica DSM 12278, 53 nucleotides long. It matches the Rfam family "leuA-Halobacteria RNA". The record is from Rfam. NCBI's taxonomy places the organism in Archaea, Methanobacteriati, Methanobacteriota, Halobacteria, Halobacteriales, Natrialbaceae.